AAGUAGAUAGUCAGUUUUGAUGGGGUUGUAGACCCAAUUCUCUUGCCUUUCUGAAUGUCAUAUUCUAAACCUUGUGGCCUUUUAGUGUAGAGGCUGCCAGAUCCUAUGUAAUCCUAAUUGGUGUUCCUUGAUAUCUGAAUUGUCUCUUUCUGGCUUCUUGUAAUAUUUUCUCCUUGGCUUGGAAGCUCUUAAAUUUGGCCAUUACAUUCCUGGGAGUUGUCUUUUAAGGAUUUACUGUAGAGGGUGAUCUAUGGACUCUUUUGAUGUCUAUUUUGCCCUCUUGUUGAAGAAUAUCAGGGCAGUUUUCUUGGAUAAUUUCUUGUAGUAUGAUGUCAAUGUUUCUGUUCAUUUCCAGGUUUUCAGGUAUGCCUAUGAUUCCCAAAUAGUUACCUUCUAGACCUGUUUUCCAAGUCAAACAGUUUUCUUGGUCAGAAGUCUGAGUGAGGAAGGUGGUUGAUCUGUGUAUUGAACUCCAGAGAGUCUGUGUGCAGUCCCAAGCUGUCUCUGCACCCAAGCUCUGCAUUCCUCAGCCUCCUUGGGGUCCUAUGUCUUGAAGCUCUUUGAGGAAUCCAGGUGGAGAAAACAUUGGAAAAAUCCAGGAAUAGAGGUACUUCUAUCCAGAGACAAGGAGAGAGAGCUCCUUCCAGUCUGAGGACCAGGAAAGGGAGGUCUUGAGAGCAACUGUCACUCUCCAAGUCCCCCUUUCCCCACCAACUGUCAUCGCUGUCCAUCAAUCUUCACUCUAACAGUCCAAAUGCUGUGUGCUCCACCUCAGUGGCAGAAAAUUCAAAGCUUGAUUCAGUGAAGUAGCCCCAGAAAACCAAAGAUGGAAAAAUUACCCCUGUCCGCAUUUUUAGGGGACAGACCUGGUUUUGGAAAGACCUGGUUGGAAAGAACCACAUUCUCAUCAUGAG
This 914-nucleotide long non-coding RNA is filed under the name Monodelphis domestica (gray short-tailed opossum). RNAcentral's name for it is "lncRNA (ENSMODG00000047106.1)". The record is from RNAcentral. Lineage: Eukaryota; Metazoa; Chordata; Mammalia; Didelphimorphia; Didelphidae.